GUCGCACGAGAAAGGGAGCUUCGGUUCCUGAGUAAAGUGGCGCACGGGUGAGUAACACGUGAAUCAUCUACCUUCGAGUGUGGAAUAACUGAGAGAAAUCUUAGCUAAUACCGCAUAAUACCUACGGGUCAAAGCAGCAAUGCGCUUGAAGAGGAGUUCGCGGCAGAUUAGUUAGUUGGCGGGGUAAUGGCCCACCAAGACGAUGAUCUGUAUCCGGCCUGAGAGGGCGCACGGACACACUGGAACUGAAACACGGUCCAGACUCCUACGGGAGGCAGCAGUGGGGAAUUUUGCGCAAUGGGGGAAACCCUGACGCAGCAACGCCGCGUGGAGGAUGAAAUAUCUUGGUAUGUAAACUCCUCUCGAUGGGGAAGAUAAUGACGGUACCCAUAGAAGAAGCCCCGGCUAACUUCGUGCCAGCAGCCGCGGUAAUACGAGGGGGGCAAGCGUUGUUCGGAAUUAUUGGGCGUAAAGGGUGCGUAGGCGGUUUGACAAGUCAUCUGUGAAAUCUAUGGGCUCAACCCAUAGUCUGCAGGCGAAACUGUCGGGCUUGAGUAUUGGAGAGGUGAGUGGAAUUUCCGGUGUAGCGGUGAAAUGCGUAGAUAUCGGAAGGAACACCUGUGGCGAAAGCGGCUCACUGGACAAUAACUGACGCUGAUGCACGAAAG
RNAcentral lists this ribosomal RNA (668 nucleotides) under uncultured Fibrobacteres/Acidobacteria group bacterium. RNAcentral's name for it is "bacterial SSU rRNA". It matches the Rfam family "Bacterial small subunit ribosomal RNA", at positions 61 to 759 of the family's 1533-position model. The record is from RNAcentral. Lineage: Bacteria; Pseudomonadati.